RNAcentral lists this transfer RNA (70 nucleotides) under Falconius longicornis. RNAcentral describes it as "tRNA-Lys". Lineage: Eukaryota; Metazoa; Arthropoda; Insecta; Orthoptera; Tetrigidae. The record is from RNAcentral.
CAUUAGAUGGCCGAAAACCAAGCAAUGGUCUCUUAAACCAUAAUAUAGUAUAAAUAAAUACUUCUAAUGA